Molecule: ribosomal RNA, 333 nt
Filed under: Triticum aestivum (bread wheat)
Lineage: Eukaryota; Viridiplantae; Streptophyta; Magnoliopsida; Poales; Poaceae
Description: partial small subunit ribosomal RNA
Source: RNAcentral
AUGGGAAAUAGCCUCCUAUUUGCUGUGGCCAUUGUAGUCAUUUAUGCCACGGCAGUUGUUGGUGCAGGUUCACGUGUGCCAAUAGACAUCAACAAUCCAGACGUCCAGCGACUUGGCAGGUGGGCGGUGGCAGAGCACGAGAACCAGGUACAGGACGAGAUCAAAUUCAACAAAGUUGUGAGAGCCGAGAGCGACGCCGAUUUGGAACUAGGCUUACUCCUCCAUCUCUUCAUUGACGCAACCAACGGAGAUGGCAAGGAUGCCAAGUACGAGGCGGUUGUGGACCAGAUUCGCGGGAAACCCGAUCUCUUGGACUUUAAGCCGGUUAACUGA